AUUGAACGCUGGCGGCAUGCUUUACACAUGCAAGUCGAACGGCAGCGCGGGGCAACCUGGCGGCGAGUGGCGAACGGGUGCGUAAUAUAUCGGAACGUACCCAGAAGUGGGGGAUAACGUAGCGAAAGUUACGCUAAUACCGCAUACGAUCUACGGAUGAAAGUAGGGGACCGCAAGGCCUUAUGCUAUUGGAGCGGCCGAUAUCUGAUUAGCUAGUUGGUGAGGUAAAGGCUCACCAAGGCGACGAUCAGUAGCUGGUCUGAGAGGACGACCAGCCACACUGGAACUGAGACACGGUCCAGACUCCUACGGGAGGCAGCAGUGGGGAAUUUUGGACAAUGGGCGCAAGCCUGAUCCAGCAAUGCCGCGUGAGUGAAGAAGGCCUUCGGGUUGUAAAGCUCUUUUGUCAGGGAAGAAACGGUAGAGGCUAAUAUCCUUUGCUAAUGACGGUACCUGAAGAAUAAGCACCGGCUAACUACGUG
RNAcentral lists this ribosomal RNA (482 nucleotides) under uncultured bacterium. Its description in RNAcentral is "partial 16S ribosomal RNA". It matches the Rfam family "Bacterial small subunit ribosomal RNA", at positions 30 to 507 of the family's 1533-position model. The record is from RNAcentral.